Molecule: long non-coding RNA, 743 nt
Organism: Harpia harpyja (harpy eagle)
Lineage: Eukaryota; Metazoa; Chordata; Aves; Accipitriformes; Accipitridae
Exons: 2
Source: RefSeq, a predicted model, not a curated record
CGCUCCGCUCCGCUCCCUCACCCGCGUUGCCGCUGCCGGGUUGGCCACGCUGGCCUCGGUUGCUGUAGCGAGCUCCCCGCCGCCUCGGUUUUUGUGACGCCUAAAUCCGAGGCCCGUUUCCACGCCGAAUCAUUCUUUCGGUCAAGAAGUCCCAGAAGACAAGGUCUUGCAGGUGACCUUAUGCCCACCUUCUGGCAUUACCCUGAUGAGCUCCCUGCGCUGAUACACUUGAGAGGGCAACGACGAAAGCAGAUCUGAGCUAUGGGGCUGCGGACGGGGGCUGUUCUGGCAGCACUGACCAGUCCAACUCUUGCGGAACAGCCUCCCCCUACACGGAGCAAGGCUCUCACCUGCAAUCCACAGGCAGUUUCUCUCCUGGCCCAGUACCAGAGAUAGGUCCACCAAGCCCUUUGUCACUUUUCAUUUCUAGGCGCAGGCAUCUCUGUACACGUACAUCAGUUACUUCAGAAUGGUGCGUAACAUCCUUGAAAAUGUUCAGGUUAGAACCAAAGUUUUGGCUUUAAAGGCUUACAACUUGAAGUAGCUUAGCUGAAUUUACAAGGUCUUUAUCCUUACAGCUGACAAGUUUGAGUUCUGCAUGCACAAAAAGCUGCCUUCUUCCUGAAUUCAACUAUAUUUACUUAGCGUGCCUAAAGGACAAAAUGAAUGUAGGAUGUUAUAGCUGCUCAACAAUAGACUUACCCUGACCUGGAAAGCUGGUUAUUAAAAUUUUGGUUUAUUGA